AAACCGGCAUAUAGGAUUCCAGACUGGGACAUUCUGUUUCUUAGUUUUCUCAAAAAUUCUGUAGUUUUAAAAAAAAUAAUCUAAUUGGGAUGCUUGUUAAUAUUGAUAGUAAUUGAAGAAUUGGAGAAUUUGAACCGAUUUGCUAAUUGCAAAGGUUUUUUUCGAUUUGGGUUUCAUGAUCAUAUACGGUGGAGAUUGUGAAGAUUCGUGUAUGCAUAUAUGUUUUCUUUUUCAUACUGCUAGGUGCUUGCAUUCAUUAGUAAGGAUUGGGUAUAUUUCCUUUAAAAUAGUUGGGAUUGUUCGUGUUCUGUUGGGUAUGAUUUGUAAAUGGAUUUUAAUUGGAGGUUUUAGUUAAACCUAUGGUAUCUCUGUAUAUCAGCUGAAUGGGAAAUUUUAUGUGAUUAUUAAUAUAUCCAUGUGGGGAGAUACUCGGAUUUUGGUUAAAGAUAGAAUUAUAUUCAUCUGUAUUACCUAGCCUUACAUGAAGGGAAAUUGAGUUGUAAUCUUUUAAGUGAAUAAGUUCUAGUCGCAACCCUUAGAUUAACAUAAUUUUGAUUUGCUUAUUGGUUAAUGGUUAUUAUGAGACUGAAAAAAAGAUGCAUUGGAUAUAUUCUCUAAUGAUGUCAUAACCAAUUUCUUCUUCAUUUAUUGUCUUAGUUGAUUUCUCAAUGCAUUCUGGUUCGGAACAAUUGUUCUUUUUCUUUUGAUUUUUUUUGUUUUGGGUUUAGGGUUUUUAGGGUUUAUAUUUAUAGAGUGAAUGAUGAAAUAAAGAAGAGCCGAUUGUUUGUUUUGAGUUCUCACUUAACCCGUUUGCCUCCGGCAUCUUCCCUCAUGGCUUCGGAGAAAGAAGCUGCCAUUGCUGCUGCUCCCUCUGAUUCUUCUACCAUAUUUGACAAAAUCAUCAACAAGGAAAUCCCAGCUACCGUAGUGUAUGAAGAUGAUAAGAUCAAGAAAAGAGGAAAUCGGAAUUGGAUCGGGGGAAAUCUAAAGUUUUCGAAUGGUCGUCUCUAUUCGUUUGUCUUCAUCCGAGAUUUUGGAAGCUAGUUAUGAGCUCAGGGAUCAUCAGAGAAAUCCGUCACACUAUCGAUUACUAUUUCGGUAUUUUUAAAAGCUUGAAUAAUGAACCUAUGGCAUGUAUAGGCUAGUACUUAUUUUGUUUGGUUUUGAAAUUGUAAAUAUAAAGCCAUGCGAAAAUAGCUAGAAGUGAUGUUUAUGUUUCAUGAUGGAAAAUUAUGUUUCAUGGUAUGUAUGUAUGUAUGUGAUGUGCUUAGUAUAUGAUUUCGGCAUGAAGUAGUGAAAUACUUAUGGCUUA
Long non-coding RNA from Gossypium raimondii (Peruvian cotton), 1312 nucleotides. RefSeq lists it as uncharacterized. The record is from RefSeq and is a predicted model, not a curated record. The transcript has 4 exons. NCBI's taxonomy places the organism in Eukaryota, Viridiplantae, Streptophyta, Magnoliopsida, Malvales, Malvaceae.